This 776-nucleotide ribosomal RNA is filed under the name uncultured Neocallimastigales. RNAcentral describes it as "partial large subunit ribosomal RNA". It matches the Rfam family "Eukaryotic large subunit ribosomal RNA", at positions 26 to 629 of the family's 3401-position model. Lineage: Eukaryota; Fungi; Neocallimastigomycota; Neocallimastigomycetes; Neocallimastigales. The record is from RNAcentral.
CGCAUCUGUGCAUGCAGCAUAUCAAUAAGCGGAGGAAAAGAAACUAACAAGGAUUCCCCUAGUAACGGCGAGUGAAGCGGGAAGAGCUCAAAUUUGAAAUCUUAAAGGGUUUCCCUUUACGAAUUGUAGUUUAAAGAAGUGUUUUCUGUUGAGGUUUUGGUAAAAGUUCUUUGGAAUAGGACAUCAUAGAGGGUGAGAAUCCCGUAUUUGACCUUUACUUUCAACUUUGUGAUACACUUUCAAAGAGUCGGAUUGUUUGGGAAUGCAGUCCAAAAUGGGUGGUAAAUUUCAUCUAAAGCUAAAUAUUGGCGAGAGACCGAUAGCGAACAAGUACCGUGAGGGAAAGAUGAAAAGAACUUUGAAAAGAGAGUUAAACAGUACGUGAAAUUGUCAAAAGGGAAGCGUUUGACACCAGUGUUGUUUUUCUGAAAAUCAAUUAAAGAACUGUUUAUGCUAAGCUUGUUUAGACUUUAUCAGCUAAUCUGUUUAGUUUUGAGCUUUUCUUUAAUGCACUUUUCAGUUAACAAGUCAACAUCAAUUUCUUUUGCUGUAAAAAAGCUUGAGGAAGGUGGCUUGAGAUUCGUCUUAAGUGUUUAUAGCCUCUUGCCUAUGCAGUCGGAGAGAUUGAGGUCUGCAGCGUAGAUCCUUCGGGGCUAAAUGCAUUUGUGCUAAGUUAUAGCAUUUUAUAGACAACUUGUUGACUAUGAUUUGUCUUGUAGCUUACUCGCUUAUGUUAUUUUACCUACGCUUAGGAUGUUGACAGCAGUAUAGACUGU